GGGGGGGGGGGGGGGGGGGGGGGGGGGGGGGGGGGCGAGGGGGGGAGGGGGGCGUGCUGGUGGAUGGAGCGGCGGAGGGGGGAGGAGUGCCGAGGACGCGGCCUGGGAGUGGGGGCAAACGUGCGGAGACGGGCGCUGAGACCGCAUACGUCCUGAGGGCGAAAGUGGGGGGGCUUCUGAGCUAGCGCUAGGAGAAUAGCCUAGGUCGGAUUAGCUAGUGGGUGGGGUAAAGGCCUACCAGGGCGACGAUCCGUAACCGGUCUGAGAGGAUGAUCAGUCACACUGGAACUGAUACACGGUCCCGACUCCUACGGGAGGCAGCAGUGGGCAAUAUUGUACAAGGGGCGAGAGCCUGAUCCAGCCAUGCCGCGUGUGUGAAGAAGGUCUUCGGAUUGUAAAGCACUUUAAGUUGGGAGGAAGGGCAGUAAGUUAAUACCUUGCUGUUUUGACGUUACCAACAGAAUAAGCACCGGCUAACUUCGUG
This 484-nucleotide ribosomal RNA is filed under the name uncultured bacterium. Its description in RNAcentral is "partial 16S ribosomal RNA". It matches the Rfam family "Bacterial small subunit ribosomal RNA", at positions 38 to 507 of the family's 1533-position model. The record is from RNAcentral.